AAUUUGUCCCCACUUAGCAGAUUGGCCAUUAUCCACCACAAACUGGGCAUCUUUCGAGGAUGACAUGGAUCCACCAUUCUUCUUAACAACAAUAUCAACAGAAAGAGCUUGAAACAACGUCCCAUCAUCCAUGUCGACAUCAAUGUACGAAAAUGAAGAGAGAUGACUCCCCAACAUGGCCUGCUCACCACCCACGAUGAC
RNAcentral lists this long non-coding RNA (201 nucleotides) under Lathyrus oleraceus (garden pea). RNAcentral describes it as "Pisum sativum (pea) long non-coding RNA (PSAT_LNC015166)". The record is from RNAcentral. Lineage: Eukaryota; Viridiplantae; Streptophyta; Magnoliopsida; Fabales; Fabaceae.